This 304-nucleotide ribosomal RNA is filed under the name uncultured bacterium. Its description in RNAcentral is "partial 16S ribosomal RNA". It matches the Rfam family "Bacterial small subunit ribosomal RNA", at positions 506 to 807 of the family's 1533-position model. The record is from RNAcentral.
CAGCAGCAGCCACGGGAAUACGAAGGGUGCAAGCGUUACUCGGAAUUACUGGGCGUAAAGCGUGCGUAGGUGGUGGUUUAAGUCCGUUGUGAAAGCCCUGGGCUCAACCUGGGAAUUGCAGUGGAUACUGGAUCACUAGAGUGUGGUAGAGGAUAGUGGAAUUUCCGGUGUAGCAGUGAAAUGCGUAGAGAUCGGAAGGAACAUCUGUGGCGAAGGCGACUAUCUGGGCCAACACUGACACUGAGGCACGAAAGCGUGGGGAGCAAACAGGAUUAGAUACCCCAGUAGUCCCUGUCUCUUAUAC